GACGAACCGUGCGAACGUUGUUCGGAAUCACUGGGCUUAAAGGGUGCGUAGGCGGGCGAUCAAGUCAGGGGUGAAAUCCUCCAGCUUAACUGGAGAACUGCCUUUGAUACUGGUCAUCUUGAGUGAGGUAGGGGCGUGCGAAACUGAUGGUGGAGCGGUGAAAUGUGUUGAUAUCAUCAGGAACUCCGGUGGCGAAAGCGGCGCGCUGGACCUUUACUGACGCUGAGGCACGAAAGCCAGGGGAGCGAACGGG
This 253-nucleotide ribosomal RNA is filed under the name uncultured bacterium. RNAcentral describes it as "partial 16S ribosomal RNA". It matches the Rfam family "Bacterial small subunit ribosomal RNA", at positions 524 to 776 of the family's 1533-position model. The record is from RNAcentral.